RNAcentral lists this transfer RNA (86 nucleotides) under Bacilli bacterium. Its description in RNAcentral is "tRNA-Tyr". It matches the Rfam family "tRNA". Rfam says of the family: Transfer RNA (tRNA) molecules are approximately 80 nucleotides in length. The record is from RNAcentral. Lineage: Bacteria; Bacillati; Bacillota; Bacilli.
GGAGGGGUAGCGAAGAGGCUAAACGCGGCAGACUGUAAAUCUGCUCCCGGGUGGGUUCGGCGGUUCGAAUCCGUCCCCCUCCACCA